This 519-nucleotide ribosomal RNA is filed under the name uncultured eukaryote. Its description in RNAcentral is "SSU rRNA". It matches the Rfam family "Eukaryotic small subunit ribosomal RNA", at positions 1161 to 1705 of the family's 1831-position model. The record is from RNAcentral.
AGGGCACCACCAGGAGUGGAGCCUGCGGCUUAAUUUCACUCAACACGGGAAAACUCACCCGGCCCGGACACCGUGAGGAUUGACAGAUUGAUAGCUUUUUCAUGAUUCGGUGGUUGGUGGUGCAUGGCCGUUCUUAGUUCGUGGAUCGAUUUGUCUGGUUUAUUCCGAUAACGAGCGAGACUCCAGCCUACUAAAUAGUGCGGGCAUUGCUUCUGUGCCUCGCACUUCUUAGAGGGAUUGGCUGCGUCUAGCGGCACGAAACGGAGCAAUAACAGGUCUGUGAUGCCCUUAGAUGUCCGGGGCUGCACGCGCGCUACACUGGCAAAGGCAGCGUGCUUGUCCAUCUCCGAAAGGAGCUGGUAAGCCCUUGAAAAUUUGCCGUGAUUGGGAUCGGAAAUUGCAAUUAUUUUCCGUGAACGAGGAAUUCCUAGUAAGUGCGAGUCAUCAGCUCGCGUUGAUUACGUCCCUGCCCUUUGUACACACCGCCCGUCGCUGCCUAGAACUGAGCCAUUUCGAGAA